Molecule: ribosomal RNA, 1193 nt
Filed under: Escherichia coli
Lineage: Bacteria; Pseudomonadati; Pseudomonadota; Gammaproteobacteria; Enterobacterales; Enterobacteriaceae
Description: partial 23S ribosomal RNA
Rfam family: Bacterial large subunit ribosomal RNA
Source: RNAcentral
CCUGAAACCGUGUACGUACAAGCAGUGGGAGCACGCUUAGGCGUGUGACUGCGUACCUUUUGUAUAAUGGGUCAGCGACUUAUAUUCUGUAGCAAGGUUAACCGAAUAGGGGAGCCGAAGGGAAACCGAGUCUUAACUGGGCGUUAAGUUGCAGGGUAUAGACCCGAAACCCGGUGAUCUAGCCAUGGGCAGGUUGAAGGUUGGGUAACACUAACUGGAGGACCGAACCGACUAAUGUUGAAAAAUUAGCGGAUGACUUGUGGCUGGGGGUGAAAGGCCAAUCAAACCGGGAGAUAGCUGGUUCUCCCCGAAAGCUAUUUAGGUAGCGCCUCGUGAAUUCAUCUCCGGGGGUAGAGCACUGUUUCGGCAAGGGGGUCAUCCCGACUUACCAACCCGAUGCAAACUGCGAAUACCGGAGAAUGUUAUCACGGGAGACACACGGCGGGUGCUAACGUCCGUCGUGAAGAGGGAAACAACCCAGACCGCCAGCUAAGGUCCCAAAGUCAUGGUUAAGUGGGAAACGAUGUGGGAAGGCCCAGACAGCCAGGAUGUUGGCUUAGAAGCAGCCAUCAUUUAAAGAAAGCGUAAUAGCUCACUGGUCGAGUCGGCCUGCGCGGAAGAUGUAACGGGGCUAAACCAUGCACCGAAGCUGCGGCAGCGACGCUUAUGCGUUGUUGGGUAGGGGAGCGUUCUGUAAGCCUGCGAAGGUGUGCUGUGAGGCAUGCUGGAGGUAUCAGAAGUGCGAAUGCUGACAUAAGUAACGAUAAAGCGGGUGAAAAGCCCGCUCGCCGGAAGACCAAGGGUUCCUGUCCAACGUUAAUCGGGGCAGGGUGAGUCGACCCCUAAGGCGAGGCCGAAAGGCGUAGUCGAUGGGAAACAGGUUAAUAUUCCUGUACUUGGUGUUACUGCGAAGGGGGGACGGAGAAGGCUAUGUUGGCCGGGCGACGGUUGUCCCGGUUUAAGCGUGUAGGCUGGUUUUCCAGGCAAAUCCGGAAAAUCAAGGCUGAGGCGUGAUGACGAGGCACUACGGUGCUGAAGCAACAAAUGCCCUGCUUCCAGGAAAAGCCUCUAAGCAUCAGGUAACAUCAAAUCGUACCCCAAACCGACACAGGUGGUCAGGUAGAGAAUACCAAGGCGCUUGAGAGAACUCGGGUGAAGGAACUAGGCAAAAUGGUGCCGUAACUUCGGGAGAA